This 497-nucleotide ribosomal RNA is filed under the name fungal sp. TRN527. Its description in RNAcentral is "SSU rRNA". It matches the Rfam family "Eukaryotic small subunit ribosomal RNA", at positions 57 to 560 of the family's 1831-position model. The record is from RNAcentral. Lineage: Eukaryota; Fungi.
GUCUAAGUAUAAGCAACUAUACUGUGAAACUGCGAAUGGCUCAUUAAAUCAGUCAUAAUUUAUUUGAUAGUACCUUUACCUGGAUAACCGUGGUAAUUCUAGAGCUAAUACAUGCUAAAAACCUCGACUUCGGAAGGGGUGUAUUUAUUAGAUAAAAAACCAAUGCCCUUCGGGGCUCCUUGGUGAUUCAUAAUAACUUAACGAAUCGCAUGGCCUUGCGCUGGCGAUGGUUCAUUCAAAUUUCUGCCCUAUCAACUUUCGAUUGUAAAGUAGUGGUUUACAAUGGUUUUAACGGGUAACGGGGAAUUAGGGUUCUAUUCCGGAGAGGGAGCCUGAGAAACGGCUACCACAUCCAAGGAAGGCAGCAGGCGCGCAAAUUACCCAAUCCCAAUUCGGGGAGGUAGUGACAAUAAAUACUGAUACAGGGCUCUUUCGGGUCUUGUAAUUGGAAUGAGAACAAUUUAAAUCCCUUAACGAGGAACAAUUGGAGGGCAGCU